RNAcentral lists this ribosomal RNA (469 nucleotides) under uncultured bacterium. RNAcentral's name for it is "bacterial SSU rRNA". It matches the Rfam family "Bacterial small subunit ribosomal RNA", at positions 335 to 799 of the family's 1533-position model. The record is from RNAcentral.
ACUCCUACGGGAGGCAGCAGUGAGGAAUAUUGGUCAAUGGUCGCAAGACUGAACCAGCCAUGCCGCGUGCAGGAAGACGGUCCUAUGGAUUGUAAACUGCUUUUAUACAGGAAGAAACCCCUCCCACGUGUGGGAGCUUGACGGUACUGUAGGAAUAAGGAUCGGCUAACUCCGUGCCAGCAGCCGCGGUAAUACGGAGGAUCCAAGCGUUAUCCGGAAUCAUUGGGUUUAAAGGGUCCGUAGGCGGCCUUAUAAGUCAGUGGUGAAAGCCCAUCGCUCAACGAUGGAACUGCCAUUGAUACUGUAAGGCUUGAAUUAUUGUGAAGUAACUAGAAUAUGUAGUGUAGCGGUGAAAUGCUUAGAUAUUACAUGGAAUACCAAUUGCGAAGGCAGGUUACUAACAAUGGAUUGACGCUGAUGGACGAAAGCGUGGGGAGCGAAUAGGAUUAGAUACCCUGGUAGGAUAGCG